Glycine soja is the source of this 5484-nucleotide RNA transcript. RefSeq lists it as uncharacterized. The transcript is spliced from 11 exons. Lineage: Eukaryota; Viridiplantae; Streptophyta; Magnoliopsida; Fabales; Fabaceae. The record is from RefSeq and is a predicted model, not a curated record.
CCUGUGGCUGUGUUCAAAGAUACAUAAAGAAUAUUUCUUCUCUUCAACACAAACUCAAUUUCUUCUUCCACUCAAUUUCUCUCUCUCUUCUUUAAUUCUCACACAAAACCAAGAAACCAAGAACCGACAGAGAGAAGGAGAAAGAGAAAGAGAACGAUCACUGCAUCAGUUCUCAUAUGCAGACCCUUCAUCGCCGUCUUCUCCACGCCUUAAACCUUGGCACCAGAUCUCAACUUGCACCCCCCAUCCCACCCAGUCACUUCCCUCCAGGUCCUUAUUCCGUGAAAUUUUCUUUAAAUUUUCUAUCUUUUUUACUUCCGACAUAGUGGGCACCCUUCUACCCAUCAUUUAAUUUUCUAUCUCGUUGGUUCAAAGUGAUUGAACUGUGUUUUUCGUUUCAUGGGUUUUUCUUUUGGUCCUGGGUCUGGGACCACGGUGUCCCCUAACCCAUUGGUCAGAGAAUUAUCUGCUCGCGGUGUGUGGUGUGUGGCUGCUGCUGUCACAAGAGAAUUUUGCACAUGACAUUUUGAUGAGAAGACAAAUAGAUGGAAAAAUGUGCUAUGAUCAAUUGGUGCGCUCUUGAUUCAUUAUCAGGAGAUGCACAUGCAGCACGUCAUGCUAUUGUUAAGGAACCAGUUGCCGAUAUUUUGGGAGCGCAUUAUUAUGGGUUCUUCAAUGCAAAAGUGAGGCUUUGUUAAGCAUGGCAUCAGAUGUGGCAGUAAAGAAGUUGCAACACCCUGUGCUAUUGCUUUGAAUUUGGUAAUCUCAAAUUUGAGUGGUACAAGUGAGAAGGCAGUUAUGGAAGCAUUGAAAGAAACAGAGACUUCCAUGUGUAUUGUUGGAAAUAGAAAAGAUUUUGCUGAAGGUGCAAAAAACAUUGAAUAUUUUGAAGAGACGACUUUGCUUUUGAGCACAAUACUGUGGCGCUGGCCUCCUUCUAGGUUCCCUGUUGGUAAUGAUGUUAUACUUAUGAAAGUCUUAGCAAACAUCCAUACAAGGACAGAUAGUUCUAUUAAACUUACACUUUUAAAGCUGUACACAUCUUUAUGUAUUAAAAUAUCCCUCCACCUUCCACUACAAACAAAAACUUUUCCUUAUUAUCACCCAUUCUCAAGUAUUUACGCUAACUAACUUCUAUUUUGUUACCAGCUUUAUGUGAUUCUGUAGCUAGAAAACGUAUAGAGGAUGGAGAAGUAUUUCCACAAAUGUUUGUGCAGGCGAUGGGAAAAUCAGACCCCCAUGCUGUUCGGAUAGAGGUGUUUAGGCUUGCUCAAUGUCUAUAGAGAUCCCAAGAGAAUUGUUUAAAAGUGGUUGGUUUGUGUGGUGAAGCUCUUGUUGAUGCAAUAAUUUGUGGGAUGAAAGAAACUGGGCUGAGUUCUAAAUAAAUUGGGAACAACCAUGGGUCUUUGUCAGGGGAAGCAUGCCAGUCGGCUCUAAUUACUCGCUGGGCGGGUGAUCAUCAUAUCAAGUUUUGGAAACAAGGAAUUGAUAGAAUUCUCCUUAAUCUUCCUGAUUGAAAAUAUUCAAGACCAAUUGUCUAAACCUGUCUUGUCAUUGAAAAAACAAAUAUCCAUGGUAAAAGAGGGAUUAAAAGCCAAUUAUCAUCUUGGUCUUGGGAGUUAUCUAUGAGACAUUCUUGGGUGGCUUACUAUUCACUGUGGAGAAAAUUUAAACCCUCAUACUCAUGGAACUUGAGUUUUGUGGAUACACUUGAAAAAUGGUGCCGAAUAUGUCAAAAGGAUAUUGCUGAUCCUUUUCAAGGCGAACCAGUAUCAAGGGCUGUUCUCGUGAUGAUUCAUUCUCCACUUUCAUUCCAAUCCUCACAAGAGUCUCUGCAUUCUUGAUUUCACAAGAACAUACCCUCUCUGCAAGAACCCGUUUUUCACUUUUCCAGCUUCUUAUAUUCGGAUUCUCUGGAGUGAAAAUGUUCCAUGCGCUAUUCUAUUCCAAUUUCCAAGUGAAAAUCGCGGUUGAAGUUAACAAACGCAAGAAAAGGAGCGCGGUGCGGAGAUUUUUCAAGAAAGACAUGGCCGACCUUCUUGGGAGUUCCCUUGAUUACAAUGCAUAUGGAAGGGAACCAGUUGCCGAUGUUUUGGGAGCCCAUUAUUAUGGGUUGUUCAAUGCAAAAGUGAGGCUUUGUUAAGCAUGGCAUCAGAUGUGGCGGUAAAGGUAGAAGUUGCAACACCCUGUGCUAUUGCUUUGAAUUUGGUAAUCUCAAAUUUGAGUGCUACAAGUGAGAAGGCAGUUAUGGAAGCAUUGAAAGAAACAGAGACUUCCAUGCGUAUUGUUGGAAAUAGAAAAGAUUUUGCUGAAGGUGCAAAAAAAAUUGAAUAUUUUGAAGAGACAACUUUUCUUUUGAGCACAAUAAUGUGGCGCUGGCCUCCUUCUGGGUUCCCUGUUGGUAAUGAUGUUAUACUUAUGAAAGUCUUAGCAAACAUCCAUACAAGGACAGAUAAAGCAACUCUUUUUUCCAAGCUCUUUCUUCUUCAGUUCCAUUCCAUUCCUCACAAGAGUCUCUGCAUUCUUGAUUUCACAAGAACAUACCCUCUCUGCAAGAACCCGUUUUUCACUUUUCUAGCUUCGUAUAUUCGGAUUCUCGGGAGUGAAAAUGUUCGAUGCACUAUUCUAUUCCAAGUGCAAAUCGCGGUUGAAGUUAACAAACGCAAGAAAAGGAGCGCGGUGCAGAGAUUUCUCAAGAAAGACAUGGCCGACCUUCUUGGGAGUUCCCUUGAUUACAAUGCAUAUGGAAGGGUAUUUUUUUCCUUGCUAUCUGUUUCUUCAUGUGUCUUUCACAAUAUUUGGAAAGAAAUGUAUUAGGUUCUUAAUCAUUCAAAUUUAAUUUCUCUUAUCCAAUCACAAGGAAUUUCUGCAAGUGACUCAAGAAAGUAUUUAAUGGAAUAAUUCAAAUAACUUGAUAGCCUAUUGAAAAAAAAUGCCUAGCAAUGAACAACUUCCUGCACUGAAUCUUGUGAUUGGAUCAAGGAAAAUUUGCAUUGGAUCUAAAUACAAUUCUUUUCAUAUAAUGAGGGUAUUAGUUAUUUGAAUUGAUAGCUGAGAAUUUGAUCUUUUUGCAUUAUAUUACUUUUAAAAUUUAAUUCCAAAUAUGACUGCAUUUAUUAUUUUAGAGGAAAUAAAUAUGAAAUUGUUAUAUGACAUCACAUCAUACAAUGAAUGUUUAAAAUUAUAAAUAUAAAUAUUUUUUUAUAUUAGAAUUUGAGUUUAUAACUUCCUUAUUUUUUUUUCUUUCAUCAUUAUCUUCGGUACAUUAAUGUUUUUAUGUUAUCUGUUUUUAAAUUUUAGUCAAAUUUUGUUUCUGACAAGAAUUCUAGGAAUUGUAUAAAUAUGUUUUAUACAUCAUUUUAUAAUUUAUUAAUAAAUUUAUCAAAUAUUUAUAAUCCUUAAAAUUAACUUAACCCAGAAAAUGAACCAAUUUAAUUAGUUCUAUGGCUUCAUUGUCUUGUCAUAAAUUGUAAAUAUAAAUAAGUGACUGAAAUCUCAAAAGUUCAUCCAAAAUUUCAAAACUAAAUAUUGAAUCCCCGGGCGGAGUGACCUUGGAUUAACCAAAGAAUCAUCAAAUCUAAGCUGAUUGGGUCGUCUUCAUGAGAGAGCUCCGGGAUGGGCCGACAAAUAAUAAUAAUAAUGAUAAUAAUCUGGCAUACUGGGACGCACGUGCCUAGUUCUCCUCCUCCCCAUUUUUGGUCCCUUGUCAUGUUGCAGAAGAUGAGGAGGAGAUUGUUUCUUAUUGUAAUGCAUUAAGAGUCAAUCCAUUGUCCUUUGUUUUUCUUUAUUUGCAAGUUUAGUUUGUUGGUGUUGCUUCUUUGGUUUCUUUGAGUGCUUUUCCUCGAGUCUACCAUUGUAGUAAGUGUUUUAGGGUCUUAAAGAGUGUUACCAUCGAGUGGUGGUUUGAGCGUCUCCGCCUGACUCAUCUUGGUAUCGGCUUCUUAUUUUAAGGAACAAGAGAUUUUUUUGGUUUCAUAAACUUGAAAAAACCAAUACUAAGAUGGGUAAGCUAGAGGCCUCUCAAACCACCACUCGAGAAUAACAGUCUUUCAUAUUCUAAAACUUGUGGAACUGCAACAGAGAAAAAACAGUCAGGGAAAUCAAUGAUGCAACACCAACAAACCAAACUUGCAGAAGAAGAAGAAAGGACAAUGAUUGGGCUCUUAAUGCAUUACACUGAGAACCAAUCUCCUCCUCAUCCUCUGCGAUAUGAAUAUGACAAGGGAUCAGAAAUGUUAAGAGGACAGCGGGGGUUUGUGUGUCCUAGCUUGUUUGUCGACUCCUCUUAUAGCUCUCAGAAAGAAAAUCCAACCAACUUAGCUUAAUAGGCAUCACAUUUUUAUUUUUACUUGUUUUUUUUUACUGUUUGAUCAUUCUUUGGUUAAUUCCAACUCACACUCCCCACAUGGGAUUCAAUAUUUAGUUUUUAUUGCUCCCAUUUCUCUCUCUCUUGCUACAUUUUUUCUUGCUGAUAUGGCAACUCUUUAUUCCAAGCACUUUCUUCUUGAGUUUCAUUUCAUUCCUCACAAGAGUCUCUGCAUUCUUGAUUUCACAAGAACAUACCCACUCUGCAAGAACCCGUUUUUCACUUUUCCAGCUUCAUACUCUGGACCCCAUAUAUCCACUGGAAAGAUAGAUGUUUUCAUAAACAUAUACCAAAGACCAAAAGUUUUAAAAUUUGAAAAUUCACUAUCGUUUAUAAACUUACAAUGUACCAACAACUCUUUGUGUUUUCUUCUAAUACUCUUACUCCAAAUAUUCGAAGCCAUGCCAAAGUCAGAUAUUUUACAUUCAUCUCGUGAUCAAGCAAUAUAUUGCUUGCCUUUAGGUCUUGAUGUAUCACUUUUAGUCUCGAAUACUUGGGAAGGUAUAGAAGUUAUUGAGCAAUGCCUCCAAUGAUGUUCAACUGUUUUUCUCACUCUUGCAAAUUCUUUCUAGCUGAAUCUGUUUUGAAGUAAGGUUGCCUUGUUAAUAUGCUACAUGCUAACAUCUUUACCUUAACAGAAGAUAAAACAAAAUCCAAACAAAUAGGUAGAAGUCUAAGCUCUUGUUAGGCAUGUACUCAUAGAUCAAUAUUCUUUCAUCUCUCUGGAUGCAGAACCCUAAAAGCUUUAUCAAGUUCGUGUGCUGGAGUUUGGCCAUGAGUUUGGCUUCAUUCGUAAACUCCAUUAGCCCCUGUUCCGAACCUUUAGAAAGUCGCUUUAUUGCCACUUCUUGCUGAUCACUUAGCGUUCCCUGAAGGUGUCACUAUAUCAGUUCUUAUUCUGAUAGUUUCAAAUUUAAGCAAGCAAAUUAAUUCUUGUGCAGAUAUAUUAUAUAGUUUAAAAUUACCUUAUAAACAGGACCAAAACCACCCUAUCCUAACUUAUAUUUGGCACUUUCUUAUCAACAUGAUUUAGUAGAACAAACUUCAAUACGUGUUGAUGCUAGUGAAAGUAACUUUUGUAUCCAAGUAAACAUACAUAUAACUUUUUUUCCUCCACA